Molecule: ribosomal RNA, 274 nt
Filed under: uncultured prokaryote
Description: partial 16S ribosomal RNA
Rfam family: Bacterial small subunit ribosomal RNA
Source: RNAcentral
UACGUAGGGGGCGAGCGUUAUCCGGAAUUAUUGGGCGUAAAGAGUGCGUAGGUGGUUACCUAAGCGCAAGGUUUAAUCUUGAGGCUCAACCUCAUUCUGCCUUGCGAACUGGGCUACUUGAGUGCAGGAGGGGAAAGCGGAAUUCAUAGUGUAGCGGUGAAAUGCGUAGAUAUUAGGAAGAACACCGGUGGCGAAGGCGGCUUUCUGGACUGUAACUGACACUGAGGCACGAAAGCGUGGGGAGCAAACAGGAUUAGAUACCCUGGUAGUCCCU